CAGUAGCCGCGGUAAUACGUAGGUGGCAAGCGUUGUCCGGAUUUAUUGGGCGUAAAGCGAGCGCAGGCGGUUUCUUAAGUCUGAUGUGAAAGCCCCCGGCUCAACCGGGGAGGGUCAUUGGAAACUGGGAGACUUGAGUGCAGAAGAGGAGAGUGGAAUUCCAUGUGUGGCGGUGAAAUGCGUAGAUAUAUGGAGGAACACCAGUGGCGAAGGCGGCUCUCUGGUCUGUAACUGACGCUGAGGCUCGAAAGCGUGGGGAGCGAACAGGAUUAGAUACCCCUGUAGUCCCUGUCUCUUAUAC
This 301-nucleotide ribosomal RNA is filed under the name uncultured bacterium. RNAcentral describes it as "partial 16S ribosomal RNA". It matches the Rfam family "Bacterial small subunit ribosomal RNA", at positions 509 to 807 of the family's 1533-position model. The record is from RNAcentral.